ACCUGCCUCACCACCUGAGAAAACCACAUCACAGAAGAUAAGCAGGGUUGGGCCUGGUCAGUACCUGGAUGGGAAAUCACUCAGGAAUACCUGGGGAGGAAGCGU
This 105-nucleotide ribosomal RNA is filed under the name Amphilophus citrinellus (Midas cichlid). Lineage: Eukaryota; Metazoa; Chordata; Actinopteri; Cichliformes; Cichlidae. The record is from RNAcentral.